GCGUGGCCAGUGUUUCCCUGGAGUUCUCUGCCGCCCCUCCUCUUCGUGCUUCCAGCUGGAGUUGUUUUAGACUCCUGGAUCCCCUCUGUGGAGAAGCAAAGGGAGAGAACGGCUGGCGUGUGGAUGUAGAAACCUGGAUGACUGGAAUGUUUAUACAAUGUGUGUUAAARCAAGCGUGAUGAAGAUGCCUUGUAAAAAGGAGAGGACAGAAAUCGCCCCUGCAGUACCUGCUGAGCCACCUGCUCAUGUCCUAAYGAGCUGGACGAGUUUGUGCCACAGGAUGCCAGAGCCGACCUGUGCCUUAUCCUGGAUGUGACCGCCACGGAAAAGGGCACAGCAGGACCCCGAGGACCCUGCCACAGGUUGUGGACAGCCAGGAACCAGACCCACGCUCRGUGAAGAAGAGGCAGAUGCUCUUCUCCUGCAAGCACCGCUUGUGUUGYCAGCCAGCCUUCGCUCCUAGAAGUCUGCAGGUGCUGUGGAGGUGGCAGGAAAUCAGAGGUUGCUAGAGCCACACAUCUGCUGCUGUUAACUGCUCAAUACCUGGCAAAAGAACAAAAGUGAAAAAUGUUGGCUUUGAAAACCUCAGAAAAACAAGAAUUGAUGGUGCAAGCACGGAGGGUACCCAGA
Long non-coding RNA from Nothoprocta perdicaria, 630 nucleotides. RefSeq lists it as uncharacterized. The record is from RefSeq and is a predicted model, not a curated record. The transcript is spliced from 2 exons. Lineage: Eukaryota; Metazoa; Chordata; Aves; Tinamiformes; Tinamidae.